RNAcentral lists this unclassified non-coding RNA (345 nucleotides) under soil metagenome. RNAcentral's name for it is "partial contains 5.8S ribosomal RNA, internal transcribed spacer 2, and large subunit ribosomal RNA". The stretch from base 1 to 120 matches the Rfam family "5.8S ribosomal RNA", at positions 35 to 154 of the family's 154-position model. The record is from RNAcentral.
GAUGAAGAACGUAGCGAAAUGCGAUACGUAAUGUGAAUUGCAGAAUUCAGUGAAUCAUCGAGUCUUUGAACGCACAUUGCGCCCCCUGGUAUUCCGGGGGGCAUGCCUGUCCGAGCGUCAUUGCUGCCCUCAAGCACGGCUUGUGUGUUGGGCCUCCGUCCUCCUCCCGGGGGACGGGCCCGAAAGGCAGCGGCGGCACCGCGUCCGGUCCUCGAGCGUAUGGGGCUUCGUCACCCGCUCUUGUAGGCCCGGCCGGCGCUUGCCGACACAUCAAUCUUUUUUCCAGGUUGACCUCGGAUCAGGUAGGGAUACCCGCUGAACUUAAGCAUAUCAAUCAGCGGAGGA